UCUGAAUUGGCGGUCUUCGAUAUUCAAAACAAUCAGAUCAGCGAUUCUUUUCCAUGUUGGAUGAGCACACUUGGUAGGCUUUAUGUUCUUGUGCUAAAAUCUAAUGAGUUCUUUGGACAAGUGGGACCUUCUGCAGAAGAUAAAAAUAGUUGUGAAUUUCCACGCAUAAUGAUUCUGGAUCUAGCCUCAAACAACUUCUCCGGCACGCUGACAGAGGAAUGGUUAACGAACCUGACGUUCAUGAUGGGCGAAGCUGGGGCCUUGGCACUGCCUGCGUUGACAACUCAGUCUUAUUCUGAUGAAACACGAAUAUAUGAAGUUACAAAUGAACUCACAUAUAAAGGGUCAGACCUCACAAUGGAAACGGUAUUUCGGGUCCUUUGGUUCCUUGAUGUCUCAAACAAUGAUCUUCAGGGAAGCAUCCCUGCGGCUAUUGGGGAACUUGUUGAGUUAAACAGUCUCAACAUGUCGCAC
This 474-nucleotide long non-coding RNA is filed under the name Setaria italica (foxtail millet). Its description in RNAcentral is "long non-coding RNA (SITA_LNC006350)". Lineage: Eukaryota; Viridiplantae; Streptophyta; Magnoliopsida; Poales; Poaceae. The record is from RNAcentral.